GGAAUAUUGGUCAAUGGGCGCGAGCCUGAACCAGCCAAGUAGCGUGCAGGACGACGGCCCUAUGGGUUGUAAACUGCUUUUAUGCGGGGAUAAAGUGACGUACGUGUACGUUUUUGUAGGUACUGUAUGAAUAAGGACCGGCUAAUUCCGUGCCAGCAGCCGCGGUAAUACGGAAGGUCCGGGCGUUAUCCGGAUUUAUUGGGUUUAAAGGGAGCGCAGGCUGAUGAUUAAGCGUGACGUGAAAUGUAGCCGCUCAACGGCUGAACUGCGUGGCGAACUGGUUAUCUUGAGUGAGUUCGAUGUUGGCGGAAUUGGUGGUGUAGCGGUGAAAUGCUUAGAUAUCACGAAGAACCCCGAUUGCGAAGGCAGCUGACGAGUCCUUUACUGACGCUAAAGCUCGAAGGUGCGGGUAUCGAACA
RNAcentral lists this ribosomal RNA (419 nucleotides) under uncultured Prevotella sp. RNAcentral describes it as "bacterial SSU rRNA". It matches the Rfam family "Bacterial small subunit ribosomal RNA", at positions 358 to 774 of the family's 1533-position model. The record is from RNAcentral. Lineage: Bacteria; Pseudomonadati; Bacteroidota; Bacteroidia; Bacteroidales; Prevotellaceae.